Molecule: ribosomal RNA, 253 nt
Filed under: uncultured bacterium
Lineage: Bacteria
Description: partial 16S ribosomal RNA
Rfam family: Bacterial small subunit ribosomal RNA
Source: RNAcentral
UACGUAGGGGGCAAGCGUUAUCCGGAUUUACUGGGUGUAAAGGGGGCGCAGACGGCGAUGCAAGCCAGGAGUGAAAGCCCGGGGCCCAACCCCGGGACUGCUCUUGGAACUGCGUGGCUGGAGUGCAGGAGGGGCAGGCGGAAUUCCUGGUGUAGCGGUGAAAUGCGUAGAUAUCAGGAGGAACACCGGUGGCGAAGGCGGCCUGCUGGACAGCAACUGACGCUGAGGCGCGAAAGCGUGGGGAGCAAACAGG